Molecule: long non-coding RNA, 121 nt
Organism: Amblyraja radiata (thorny skate)
Lineage: Eukaryota; Metazoa; Chordata; Chondrichthyes; Rajiformes; Rajidae
Exons: 3
Source: RefSeq, a predicted model, not a curated record
CUUAUGAUUUUAUUUUUUAGUUUGCUCUUCAAUUCCCGAAACUCCUUCAGGGAUACACUUGAUCGCAGCUGCCUAUACUUGUUCCAUGCCUCCUUCUUAUUCUUGACCAGAGCCUCAAUUU